This is a long non-coding RNA of Dreissena polymorpha, 1200 nucleotides long. RefSeq lists it as uncharacterized. The record is from RefSeq and is a predicted model, not a curated record. Lineage: Eukaryota; Metazoa; Mollusca; Bivalvia; Myida; Dreissenidae. The transcript has 8 exons.
UGUGUAGUGAAAAGAGAGGAUAUCGGCGAACACGAGGAAACCGGAUUGACAAUAUAAUGAGACUGUUCAAUUCGUGUUGGUGCCAUGGUGUAAGCAUACUUACCUGGUACAGAGAAUACCGUGAUCAUAUAGGCGGUUUCUCCAGGAAGAGGCUCUCCCAUUGCACUUCGGUUGGGCUGACGCCUGCGAUUACCCCAAAUGUGGGUAACUCGGGUACGCAAUUUAUUCGUGUGGGGGUCUGCGUUCGCGCUAACCCUCGUCCAAGCAAUCAUACCUGAAUCAUGCAAUUGUUCAUGCAGUAAUGUCCCGCCCGGCCGAUGACAGCACGAGACUUGCAAGGCGAACGACACGAGCCCGGCGCGGAACGUGCAGCUGCUGCAGCUGAUCGUCAACCGGAUGCAUCCAGUAAUGUCCCGCCCGGCCGAUGACAGCACGAGACUUGCAAGGCGAACGACACGAGCCCGGCGCGGAACGUGCAGCUGCUGCAGCUGAUCGUCAACCGGAUGCAUCCAGUAAUGUCCCGCCCGGCCGAUGACAGCACGAGACUUGCAAGGCGAACGACACGAGCCCGGCGCGGAACGUGCAGCUGCUGCAGCUGAUCGUCAACCGGAUGCAUCCAGUAAUGUCCCGCCCGGCCGAUGACAGCACGAGACUUGCAAGGCGAACGACACGAGCCCGGCGCGGAACGUGCAGCUGCUGCAGCUGAUCGUCAACCGGAUGCAUCCAGUAAUGUCCCGCCCGGCCGAUGACAGCACGAGACUUGCAAGGCGAACGACACGAGCCCGGCGCGGAACGUGCAGCUGCUGCAGCUGAUCGUCAACCGGAUGCAUCCAGUAAUGUCCCGCCCGGCCGAUGACAGCACGAGACUUGCAAGGCGAACGACACGAGCCCGGCGCGGAACGUGCAGCUGCUGCAGCUGAUCGUCAACCGGAUGCAUCCAGUAAUGUCCCGCCCGGCCGAUGACAGCACGAGACUUGCAAGGCGAACGACACGAGCCCGGCGCGGAACGUGCAGCUGCUGCAGCUGAUCGUCAACCGGAUGCAUCCAGUAAUGUCCCGCCCGGCCGAUGACAGCACGAGACUUGCAAGGCGAACGACACGAGCCCGGCGCGGAACGUGCAGCUGCUGCAGCUGAUCGUCAACCGGAUGCAUCCAGGUUGAUGGAGUUUUGUGUUUUGUUGGAUAAGGAACUCUUCCACCG